UACGUAGGGUGCAAGCGUUAAUCGGAAUUACUGGGCGUAAAGCGUGCGCAGGCGGUUGUGCAAGACAGAUUUGAAAUCCCCGGGCUUAACCUGGGAACUGCAUUUGUGACUGCACGGCUAGAGUGUGUCAGAGGGGGGUAGAAUUCCACGUGUAGCAGUGAAAUGCGUAGAUAUGUGGAGGAAUACCGAUGGCGAAGGCAGCCCCCUGGGAUAACACUGACGCUCAUGCACGAAAGCGUGGGGAGCAAACAGG
Molecule: ribosomal RNA, 253 nt
Filed under: uncultured bacterium
Lineage: Bacteria
Description: partial 16S ribosomal RNA
Rfam family: Bacterial small subunit ribosomal RNA
Source: RNAcentral